UACAGAGGGUGCAAUCGUUGUUCGGAAUUAUUGGGCGUAAAGGGAGUGUCGGCGGUUUCCUAAGUCUUCUGUGAAAUCUACGGGCUUAGCCUGUAACGUGCAGAGGAAACUGGGAGACUUGAGUGUCGGAGAGGAUAGGGGAAUACCCAGUGUAGAGGUGAAAUUCGUAGAGAUUGGGUGGAACACCAGUGGCGAAGGCGGCUCACUGGCCCGAUACUGACGCUGAGGCACGAAAGCGUGGGGAGCAAACAGG
Molecule: ribosomal RNA, 253 nt
Filed under: uncultured bacterium
Lineage: Bacteria
Description: partial 16S ribosomal RNA
Rfam family: Bacterial small subunit ribosomal RNA
Source: RNAcentral